GAUUUGCUCGAUAUCAAACAUCCGCCCGGGGACUACGAGCGCCAGCUUGAAACCCAAAGGACUUGGCGGUGCCUUAGACCCCCCUAGAGGAGCCUGUUCUGUAACUGAUGCCCCCCGUUUAACCUCACCCUCCCUUGCUCUUCCCGCCUAUAUACCGCCGUCGUCAGCUCACCCUGCGAAGGACUUCAAGUGAGCAAAAUUGGCCAAUCCCUAAAACGUCAGGUCGAGGUGUAGCACAUGAGAGGGGAAGAAAUGGGCUACAUUCGUUUAUCAACGCACACGAAUGACUUAUUGAAACAUUAAUCUGAAGGAGGAUUUAGCAGUAAGAAAGGACUAGAGAGCCC
This 344-nucleotide ribosomal RNA is filed under the name Corythoichthys intestinalis (scribbled pipefish). RNAcentral describes it as "partial 12S ribosomal RNA". It matches the Rfam family "Bacterial small subunit ribosomal RNA", at positions 848 to 1359 of the family's 1533-position model. Lineage: Eukaryota; Metazoa; Chordata; Actinopteri; Syngnathiformes; Syngnathidae. The record is from RNAcentral.